GAUCAUGGGAGCCCCUGACGUCAGGUCCAAGGGCAGAGAGAGCGAGCAAGUCCAGGGCCUGAAGUGAGGACCGGCGACAGGGCUGAAGGCUCGGGGUGCAAGACGGUGACUAGGACCGUCCUCGGGGGUGCGGAGAGCACAGCAAGCAAGGUGGCAUUGAAAGCCAGGCCCGGUGGCGCGCUCCUGUCAUCCCAGUGGCUCGGGAGGCUGAGGCAGGAGGAUCGCGAGUUCAAACCCGGCCUCAGCAAAAUCGAAGUACCAAGCAACUCAGGGAGACCCUGUCACUAAAUAAAAUACAAAAAAGGGCCGGGGAUGUGGCUCAGUGGUUAACUGGGUUCAAGCCCCAUACCAAAAAAAAUAAAAAAAGAUUGCACUUAACGUACCAGAAUGUCUAGGGAGUGCACGGUGAGCAACAGCUGGAUUUUAUUUGUGGAUUUUUACAAACCUUCUAUGGUGAAUGUCAUCCCUUUUAAUCAAGAGGAAAUGCUUUUCUUAAGCUCCUUAUUUUGCAAUAGAUUUAGAAUUUUAAGAAGACACUGUGACAGAGAUGGUACAGGGGUCCCUGUUCCCUCCACUCGGUUCCCCUCAGGUUAACACCUGUCAGAACCAAGAAAUCAGCAGGACACGUUGCUACCAACUCAACCCCAGGGUUUAUUUGGAUUUCACCAGUUUACCCUCUCACGCCUUCUUCUUGUUCCAAGAGCCAGUUCUCCAUCUGCUCCGUCUUCCUGGGUCUGACGGUUGCCCAAUCUUUCCUUGGUUUUUGAGACUAUGCUGAUUUUACAAAUAUCAGACAAGUACUCUGGGAUUUUGGUCUGUCCCAUGUUUUCUCAGGAUCAGAGGGAGAUGGUGGAUUCUGGGAAGAAAGCUCCCUGAGAGGAGGCGCCCUUUCUGCUCCGUCACAGUGGAGCUCAGGAGGUCCUGCGCCAUCCCUGAGGACGUGUGCCUGUGUGUCUGCGGCUUCUCCACCGCCAGUUACUCUUUCUCCUUCUCUGUGAUCUACUUUAGAAGAGCGACCCAGGUCCAGCCCGAGCCCAGGGGUCGGGGUCAGCUCCGCCUGCUUUAGAAUCAGGAGCAUCCGCACAUAGUAUUUCAAGUCCUAUGGAAGACAGCCAUCUCCUUUGCCUCCUUUUAAGUAUUUAUCCCGCCAUUUAUGUCUACCAGCAUGGACUCAUAGAUAUACCCUGAGUGAUGGUCCAAUACCACACUGUGUAUGUGGUUGCUCAAAUUUGCUCAAGGGGAAUCCUGGUUCUUUUUAUUGGGGGUUGGUAUCUGGAAACCAUGGUAUGUGCCGGCUGUGCCUGUGGAUGAGAAACUUUUUGUAAGCUGGGUGCUGUGGUGCACGCCUGUCAUCCCAGCAGCUUAGGAGGCUGAGGCAGGAGGACCACAGGUUCAAAACUAGCCUCAGCAAAAGUGAGGCACUAAGCAACUCGGUGAGACCCUGUCUCUGAAAUACAAAAUAGGGCUGGGGAUGGGGCUCCGU
Molecule: long non-coding RNA, 1483 nt
Filed under: Marmota monax (woodchuck)
Lineage: Eukaryota; Metazoa; Chordata; Mammalia; Rodentia; Sciuridae
Source: RNAcentral